This 139-nucleotide small nuclear RNA is filed under the name Choloepus hoffmanni (Hoffmann's two-fingered sloth). RNAcentral's name for it is "U2 spliceosomal RNA (ENSCHOG00000016124.1)". It matches the Rfam family "U2 spliceosomal RNA". Rfam says of the family: U2 is a small nuclear RNA (snRNA) component of the spliceosome (involved in pre-mRNA splicing). Complementary binding between U2 snRNA (in an area lying towards the 5' end but 3' to hairpin I) and the branchpoint sequence (BPS) of the intron results the bulging out of an unpaired adenosine, on the BPS, which initiates a nucleophilic attack at the intronic 5' splice site, thus starting the first of two transesterification reactions that mediate splicing. Lineage: Eukaryota; Metazoa; Chordata; Mammalia; Pilosa; Megalonychidae. The record is from RNAcentral.
AUUGCUUCUUAAGUGUAGUAUCUGUUCUUAGUUUAAUAUCUGAUACGUCCUCUAUCCGAGGACAAUAUAUUAAAUGGAUUUGGGGAGCAGGGAGAUGGAAUAGGAGCUUGCUCCAUCCAUCUCAUGAAUUCCACCACAU